RNAcentral lists this ribosomal RNA (1163 nucleotides) under uncultured Flavobacteriaceae bacterium. RNAcentral describes it as "bacterial SSU rRNA". It matches the Rfam family "Bacterial small subunit ribosomal RNA", at positions 365 to 1533 of the family's 1533-position model. Lineage: Bacteria; Pseudomonadati; Bacteroidota; Flavobacteriia; Flavobacteriales; Flavobacteriaceae. The record is from RNAcentral.
UGGACAUGGAGGCAACUCUGAUCCAGCCAUGCCGCGUGAAGGAAGACGGCCUUAUGGGUUGUAAACUUCUUUUAUACAGGAAGAAACCUUUCCACGUGUGGAAAGCUGACGGUACUGUAAGAAUAAGGAUCGGCUAACUCCGUGCCAGCAGCCGCGGUAAUACGGAGGAUCCAAGCGUUAUCCGGAAUUAUUGGGUUUAAAGGGUCCGCAGGCUGUUUGUUAAGUCAGAGGUGAAAUCCUACCGCUCAACGGUAGAACUGCCUUUGAUACUGGCAAACUUGAGUUAUUGUGAAGUAGUUAGAAUGUGUAGUGUAGCGGUGAAAUGCAUAGAUAUUACACAGAAUACCGAUUGCGAAAGCAGAUUACUAACAAUGUACUGACGCUGAGGGACGAAAGCGUGGGUAGCGAACAGGAUUAGAUACCCUGGUAGUCCACGCCGUAAACGAUGGUCACUAGCUGUUUGAUGUACAUUGGUACAUUGAGUGGCUAAGCGAAAGUGAUAAGUGACCCACCUGGGGAGUACGCUCGCAAGAGUGAAACUCAAAGGAAUUGACGGGGGCCCGCACAAGCGGUGGAGCAUGUGGUUUAAUUCGAUGAUACGCGAGGAACCUUACCAGGACUUAAAUGUAAGUUGCAUGAUUCAGAAAUGGAUCUUUCUUCGGACUACUUACAAGGUGCUGCAUGGUUGUCGUCAGCUCGUGCCGUGAGGUGUCAGGUUAAGUCCUAUAACGAGCGCAACCCCUAUCGUUAGUUGCCAUCAAGUAAAGUUGGGAACUCUAGCGAAACUGCCGGUGCAAACCGUGAGGAAGGUGGGGAUGACGUCAAAUCAUCACGGCCCUUACGUUCUGGGCUACACACGUGCUACAAUGGCCGGUACAGAAAGCAGCCACUAUGCGAAUAGGAGCUAAUCUUCAAAGCCGGUCUCAGUUCGGAUCGCAGUCUGCAACUCGACUGCGUGAAGCUGGAAUCGCUAGUAAUCGGAUAUCAGCCAUGAUCCGGUGAAUACGUUCCCGGGCCUUGUACACACCGCCCGUCAAGCCAUGGAAGCUGGGGGUACCUAAAGUCGGUGACCGAAAGGAGCCGCCUAGGGUAAAACUAGUAACUGGGGCUAAGUCGUAACAAGGUAGCCGUACCGGAAGGUGCGGCUGGAAUACCUCCUUUCU